This 754-nucleotide ribosomal RNA is filed under the name uncultured Actinomyces sp. Its description in RNAcentral is "bacterial SSU rRNA". It matches the Rfam family "Bacterial small subunit ribosomal RNA", at positions 28 to 776 of the family's 1533-position model. The record is from RNAcentral. Lineage: Bacteria; Bacillati; Actinomycetota; Actinomycetes; Actinomycetales; Actinomycetaceae.
GACGAACGCUGGCGGCGUGCUUAACACAUGCAAGUCGAACGCUGAAGACCUGGCUUUUGUUGGGUUGGAUGAGUGGCGAACGGGUGAGUAACACGUGAGUAACCUGCCCCCUUCUUUGGGAUAACGCCCGGAAACGGGUGCUAAUACUGGAUAUUCACUGGCCUUCGCAUGGGGGUUGGUGGAAAGGUUUUUUCUGGUGGGGGAUGGGCUCGCGGCCUAUCAGCUUGUUGGUGGGGUGAUGGCCUACCAAGGCUUUGACGGGUAGCCGGCCUGAGAGGGUGACCGGUCACAUUGGGACUGAGAUACGGCCCAGACUCCUACGGGAGGCAGCAGUGGGGAAUAUUGCACAAUGGGCGAAAGCCUGAUGCAGCGACGCCGCGUGAGGGAUGGAGGCCUUCGGGUUGUAAACCUCUUUCGCUCAUGGUCAAGCCGCAACAUUGGUUGUGGUGAGGGUAGUGGGUAAAGAAGCGCCGGCUAACUACGUGCCAGCAGCCGCGGUAAUACGUAGGGCGCGAGCGUUGUCCGGAAUUAUUGGGCGUAAAGGGCUUGUAGGCGGUUGGUCGCGUCUGCCGUGAAAUCCUCUGGCUUAACUGGGGGCGUGCGGUGGGUACGGGCUGACUUGAGUGCGGUAGGGGAGACUGGAACUCCUGGUGUAGCGGUGGAAUGCGCAGAUAUCAGGAAGAACACCGGUGGCGAAGGCGGGUCUCUGGGCCGUUACUGACGCUGAGGAGCGAAAGCGUGGGGAGCGAACAGG